Molecule: long non-coding RNA, 1847 nt
Filed under: Pan troglodytes (chimpanzee)
Lineage: Eukaryota; Metazoa; Chordata; Mammalia; Primates; Hominidae
Description: long non-coding RNA NONPTRT016187
Source: RNAcentral
CCAACGGCCGGAAGCGGCUAAGACACUACUCCUGCCAAAUACCCUGCAGUAGCGCACCGCGCUAUGUCUCCCUCCAGGGAUCUGUACCACUCCCAAUCCUGUUUCGUGCUGGGAUUGUAGUCUUGUAAACCUACAACUAACACCUGGGUGCGGAUAAGAGACUACAGCUCCCAUCAUUCCCAGCAAAGGGCCGUUCUGCACCGAGCUCUUUCAGGAUUCCAGUGCAGUUCCGCCAUGCGGAGGGAAGCUUGGCUGUUCACAAACCUCUCCUGCACUCGAGGAGACAGCUUGGCCGGGGCAGCUGAUCUCACCUUGUCAUUGUGACACGGUGUCUCCCCAACGUGCCGACUUCAUGACCUGUCGUGCCCAAAGUUUACUUUCUCGCAGAACAGGUAGAGGCCAAGAGCUUCUCACAGCUUCCGCCGCAGGGCUGCCAUGAUUAACUCUUAAGUACUCCACGCUUCUGAAACGGGCGUAGGCACAGCGUCAGUUCUGUACAGUGCGGACGCAGCAGGACAGAAUCUCCCUGGGCAUCUUUCCGGAGCAUCAGUUUUACUGCAAGAUUUUAAGAAACAAAUUUAAUUGAUUUCCAAGUUAAGAAAUUAAACCUUGAAAACUAGACUAAAAAGUCAUCUGCACCUGACGUAACAGACUUUCUGCAGGAAGAAAACUCUAAGGAGAGCAUAUUGUCCAUUAUUAUAAAUAGUGAAAAUGAGAAAUCAUAGCAAGUCCCUUGAAAACCCUGCCCUGCCAGUCUUCUAAUAGGGCCUUGGUAUGGUUUUAUGUGUAUUUUCUUUUUGAAGUGUGCUCACCUUUUGAAUAUACAAAUUUGGGGUUUUGACCAAAUUUGGCAAGUUUUCGGCUAUUGUUUAUUUGCUUUUGUAUCAUAUUUAAUUUUUCUGUCUCUCCCUCUCCUUCUCGUACUCAGUCAGUCAUUCCACAGGUCUCCAAGGCGCUUUUCAUUUUCUUCAAACUUGUUUCACUCUUCAGAUUGGAUGAUUUCUAUUGCUGUCUUCUGUUUCUACUGUUUAUAAACUCAACGGUCUUUUUAAUUUUUCAUUUCAUUAUCUCUCUAUUCCAUUCUUUUCAUCAUUUCCAUUUCUCUGCUCAGGCUCCACAUGAGUUAAUUCAUUAUGAGGAUGUUUUCCUUUAUCCCCAUGAACAUACUAUACUUAUAAUAGCUGCUCUCAAACCCUUGUCUGCUGAUGACAUCGUCUUGGACAUCUUAGAAUUAGCUUCUGCUGCCUGCUUUUUAUCUUGUGUAUAGAUUACAUUUUAACGUUUCUUCACACAUUUCAUGAAUUUUAAUAUUGUGUACUAGAAAUUAUAAAUAGUAGUUAGAGAGACUUUAAAUUCUGUUGUAUUCCUUUGAAGAGCAUUGUUAUUUGAAGAGGGGUUAAUCUGACUGGAUUCAAACAGCAAUACCUACCUCCCCUACAGUGGACACAGUUGAAAUCCUCAUUCGGUGAACACACACACGCAUGUAUUGUAUAUAGUGGUGCAUUUCUGUGUAACUAUAUAUAUUUUGUGCAGAUUUUAUCAUUGUUACCUGUGAGAGUGUUCAACAAGCUACUCUGGCAUUACUGAAAGUCAGAACCUCAGUUUUGUUUGCUUAUUGGAUUUGAAUACAUAAUGCCUUUGUUUUCUUUUGUAACAUUUUUUCAAUUUGAAGUCUUAUUUUGUCUGGUAUUAAUAUAGGACAACCCAAAUCUCUUUUGCUUAUUAUUUGCAUGAAAUAUCUGUUUUUCUCUUUUCACUUUCAACCAGUUGUGUCUUUCAAUCUAAUGUGAGUCUUGUACAAACAUGAUAGUUGCAUCAUGGUUUUUAGUCUGUUCUGCUGAUCUCUG